CCUACGGGUGGCAGCAGUGAGGAAUAUUGGGCAAUGGACGAGAGCCUGAACCAGCCAAGUCGCGUGAAUGAUGACGGCCCUACGGGUUGUAAACUUCUUUUGCCAGGGAGCAAUUGGUUCCACGCGUGGGCUUAGCGAGAGCACCUGAAGAAAAAGCAUCGGCUAACUCCGUGCCAGCAGACGCGGUAAUACGGGGGAUGCGAGCGUUAUCCGGGUUUAUUGGGGUUAAGGGGUGCUUGGGCGGAAUAUCAAGGCAGUGGUAAAAAUUCGGGGCUCAACCCCGUUGUGCCGUUGAAACUGAUGUUCUUGAGUGGGCGAGAGGUAUGCGGAAUGCGUGGUGUAGCGGUGGAAUGCAUAGAUAUCACGCAGAACUCCGAUUGCGAAGGCAGCAUACCGGAGCCCAACUGACGCUGAAGCACGAAAGCGUGGGUAUCGAACAGGAUUAGAUACCCCGGUAGUC
RNAcentral lists this ribosomal RNA (460 nucleotides) under uncultured bacterium. RNAcentral describes it as "partial 16S ribosomal RNA". It matches the Rfam family "Bacterial small subunit ribosomal RNA", at positions 338 to 795 of the family's 1533-position model. The record is from RNAcentral.